RNAcentral lists this ribosomal RNA (508 nucleotides) under uncultured bacterium. RNAcentral describes it as "bacterial SSU rRNA". It matches the Rfam family "Bacterial small subunit ribosomal RNA", at positions 29 to 574 of the family's 1533-position model. The record is from RNAcentral.
AUAACGCUACGGCGUGCUUCACACAUGUCAAGUCGAACGGAAAAGAGUAACAUCUUUUCAGUGGCGGACGGGUGAGUAUUGAGAAUUUGCCCUUAUGGCAGAGGAUAACAAUUAGAAAUAAUUGCUAAAACUCUAUAUGUUGGAAACAAUGAAAAAAGAAAUUUGCCUAAGGAGAAGCUCACAUUUGAUUAGCUAGUUGGUAGGGUAAGAGCCUACCAAGGCGACGAUCAAUAGUUGGUCUGAGAGGACGAUCAGCCACACUGGAACUGAGACACGGUCCAGACUCCUACGGGAGGCAGCAGUGAGGAAUAUUCCGCAAUGGGCGAAAGCCUGACGGAGCAACGCCGCGUGAGGGAUGAAGGCCUACGGGUUGUAAACCUCUUUUUCCAAGGCAGGAAGAUCUGACGUUACUUGGAGAAUAAGCAUCGGCUAACCCAUGUGCCAGCAGCCGCGGUAAUACAGGGGAUGCAAGUGUUAUCCGAGAUCAUUGGGCGUAAAGCGUCUACAG